This 43-nucleotide non-coding RNA is filed under the name Prorocentrum micans. The record is from RNAcentral. Lineage: Eukaryota; Dinophyceae; Prorocentrales; Prorocentraceae.
UUUUUUUUUUUUUUUUUUUUUUUUUUUUUAAGUGAGCACUUCU